AUCGCCUGCUGGUCCUGGGAGUUGCUCCCUCCCACGAAGUGGCUUCCUGGUGUGUUCGUGACGUUGAUAGUAGAACCGGAACGCGUUGCAGCUGCGCUGUCGUGGCUCCCGGAAGUGGGGGGCGGGUUGGCACCUGGUCCGUCAUGUUGUCGCAGGACAGUAAUGACGACACUGAAGAUGUCUCACUGUUUGAUGCAGAAGAGGAGACAACCAGUAGACCAAGAAAAUCCAGAAUCAGACACCCGGUGGCGUCCUUCUUCCACCUGUUCUUCCGAGUCAGCGCGGUGGUGGUCUAUCUCCUCUGCGAGCUGCUCAGCAGCAGCUUUAUUGCCUGCAUGGUGACAAUCAUCCUGCUGCUGUCAUGUGACUUUUGGGCAGUGAAGAAUGUCACCGGUAGACUAAUGGUCGGCCUACGUUGGUGGAAUCAUAUCGACGAGGAUGGAAAGAGCCACUGGGUGUUUGAGUCCAGAAAGUCAACUCCUCAAGACAGCAAAACCAUUUCCGAGGCCGAGUCGAGAAUCUUUUGGUUAGGACUCAUCGCCUGCCCAGUCCUGUGGGUGAUCUUUGCCUUUAGUGCCCUCUUUUCCUUCAGAGUGAAGUGGCUGGCUGUGGUGAUCAUGGGUGUGGUGCUGCAAGGUGCCAACCUAUAUGGUUAUGUCCGGUGUAAAGUGGGCAGCAAGAAGAACUUAACCAGCAUGGCUACGUCCUAUCUUGGAAAGCAGUUUCUAAGACAAAACGCUGGAGAUGGUCAGACUUCAUGAGUAAAGACAAAGACUGGGCCAUGGACUCUGGGAGCGAUGGAGAAGAUCUUGGUGUUUAGAGCUCAGUCUGUUGCAGGCCCUCCUUUCUCCAAUCCUCUAGUCCCAUCUUUACAAAUCCUUCUUCCCGCUGUCAGAAGGUGAGCCCCUCUUGGAUACUACCAUGGGACAUCUAGUCCCAGCAGGACACAUCCUCUCCCACUGAGGCCCAACCCAGCAGUCCAGGUAGGGGGAAGGGGAUCUAAUGGGAAGGAACCGAGAUAGUCCCCACUCAACUUGUUAGGGGACCCACAUGAAGAAAGGUUGUACAUUUGCCACAAAUGUGUAGGGGUCUAGGUCCAGCUCCUGCAUGCUCCCUGGUUGGUGCCCCGGGCUCUCUGAGCCCCUGUGGUCCCAGGUUAGUUGACUCUGUGGGUCUUCUUAUGGUGUCCUUGACCUCUCCUUCUUGUUUACUUCUAUGCACCACACUUUCACAAGUCUCCCUGGACUCUGACUGAUGUUUGACUGUGGUCUCUGCAUCUAUCUCCAUCUGCUGCCGGAUGAAGCCCCUCAGGUGACAGUUAUGCUAGGCUCCUGUCUGCAGGCUUAGCAGAGCAUCAUUAAUAGUGUUGGGUGACUCUCACAUGGGAUGGUCUCCCGUUGGGGCAGUCAUUGGAUGGCUCUUCCCUCAGUCUCUGCCCCAUCUUUAUCCUUGCACAUCUUGUAAUCAAGACAAACUUCGGGUUAAAGGGUUUGUGGGUGGAUUGAUGACCCCCUCCCUGCCUGGCCACAGGAGGUGGCCACUUUUAUUCUCCAUAUCCCCCUCUGGUAGGAAUCUCAGCUAGAGUCACCCCACAGACUGCCCAUAUCCUCUCCAGUCCCAGGCCUCCAGCUAGUCACCAGAGAUGCACCCCACCCCCCACCCCAGUCACCAGAGGUGUACCCUGCCCCCCACCCCCACACACUAUUUAGUUUUCCCCUCUGAGUUUUUUCCUUCCCAGCUAGAACAUGGCAACGGAUUCCUACGUUUCCUCAGUGAGACUUGGUGUGGCCACGUGACCUGGUUCUGGCCAGUGGAAACACUUCUAGGAACCAGGGCUAAGACAUCCUCAUCCCCUUCUCAUGUUCAUCCUUCUGUCUGAUGUUUUGAGAAUUCCUUCCCUGGGGAGAAGGAAGCAGGUGUCCACCCACUCCUUAGAAGGCCCCAGUGGCAAACCAAAGGGUGAUUCCCCCUGAGUUCAGUGUGGUGAACAGGUGGGUUUCUUGGCUUCCCUACACCGCAUGCUAAACAAGCUGCCGUGCUUAGCCACUGCAUCACAGUUGAGAAAGGGUCCAAGAGAGGUUGCCGUAAGUGGUGGCUUCUUUGUACCGUCCCCAUCAGCCAGGAUGCGAUGGCUGGAGUGGGCGCCACCGCAGGACUGAGAGCAUGGCUGUGUCCUCAGACCCUGGUGUCAGCUCCUUGACUCACAUGUGAAUAGAGGUGUGCAUAGCAGUGAAGGCACACAGACUCCAUCACAGUGUGUGCCUGCAUUGUAACCUUGGGUCCUCCUAGUGUUUAGUGAUAUUUCCCUAUAACCUCAAGCGGGAGGAAAGAAAGGACCGCUGUGUACCAUGUAACUCCCUGUUAAGAUUUAUAGCCAAGGCUAAGCAAAGCAAAAUAAUCACCAAGAGACAGUCUGCUUACCAGGGACCCCAUUUGUCAUUUCUCAGGCCCCUUGGUUAGUUGGGGUUGUGUCUUUGUGGCUAAUGAGAUUGGAGUGAAAUGGCUGGCUAUGUCACUGAUUCUCCAGUCUUUUGUUCCUUAUGGUAGCAAGGUGGUGGGGCCUCAGGCAGCUGUGGAGACUGGACAACAGAGUCCCCCUUCCUGGUUCAGUGGGGCCAGAGUGCUAGCAAGAAAAACAAACAAACACCCCCCCCACCCCCAAACCUGUGUAGAAUGAACCUGUUGGCUUCCUGGUUAAUGGUUACUGUAGCCCGGCAAACACUGCAUAGCAGAACAGCCUGCUUGGCCAGCACAGUUGCAUAACCAAUAGAAUAGUCAGAAAACUCUAAAAAAUACUAAAUAAAAUAAUAAUAAAAUAAAAAUACUAAUUAUUGUAUUUACUUGGUGCUUGCAUGUGCCCCUGUGGAGGUCGCAGGACAACUUGGAAGGUUCACUCCUUCCAUCCCGUGUGUACCGUGGAUCGAACUCACACCACUGGACUUCGCACCUUCGUCCACUGAGCUGACUCACUGGCCCUAGAAGACAUUUUCUAAAAAGUCUCGGUUCAGCAACUUUUCAUUGUUUGAUGCCGUGCCCUAUUCCAAAGAAAGAAGCUGGAUUCCUUGUCCCUUCCUGCAAGGUCACACUGUGGGGCCAUAAAGACUUUGAUUGUGGAGAGCUGCUAAGCCCAAGUCCCAUCUAGGUUGAUAAGAAGCUUUGCACCUCCAGCCUUUUGUUGUCACAGUUGUGGGACCACGGCACUAGGACUUUCAGGUUCUCAAGAGGAAUGGAGAAUUAAUAUGAAAUCUGACCUUUAAAUAAAUAUAGAUUCAAUUUAAAAGGGAGAAAAA
This is a non-coding RNA of Rattus norvegicus (Norway rat), 3290 nucleotides long. The record is from RefSeq and is a predicted model, not a curated record. NCBI's taxonomy places the organism in Eukaryota, Metazoa, Chordata, Mammalia, Rodentia, Muridae.